AUUUACGCGCUGUUUCUUAUUGCCUGGUUUUUUUGAAGCAUCACCGGUGAUGACAGCAAAAGGACGAGAAGGAGAUCCAUUGGAAGCAUUAGCCUCAUUUUGCUUUGCCAAUCCUCUCUUCUUCAUUGUCUCUUCAGAUUUCUGUGGCGACAUUAUGAUUCAAUCACUUCACAACUCAGUUGCACCACCUGUGUCUGGAUUCAAGAUAUAAAACAAUAAGAAGUUGAUUUUGAAGUUCACACAUCACCAAUUUAUAAUCCUUAAUCCUAAUCCAACUUAGAUAAUAUUUCACCAACCCCUCCUUCUUAUCUCAAUCACCAAACCCUGCCACCUCAAACCACACAGUCAUGAAUUAAAUUUCCUUCUCUACGUACUUUCAAACCCAUUCAAUUUUCAAUUUCAUUUAAUGUAUUCAAUCAUCUCAUUUGUAACGCAAUCAUUUUCAACUUUUGACUGAAAAUAAAUCCCUGCAGUGGUACUUCUUUUUUGCCACCCCAAAUAUCUAAAACCAAAGGAAAGAAUUAAGAAAGGUGACAAAGUUCAAAACUCUAUUUUCAUAACAAUAAAUACUAAAUAAAACUUCAAAAUCAGUCAUGGGACUGCAGAAUAUAGAUUUGACUUGCUGGGAUCAUGAAGAUAAUUUUAAAAUUUAAUUAAGAGGAUUAUAAUUUUGGUAGAUCAAAUGUGGAAUUUUGCUUUUAAUUAGUAUUGAAAUUUUGGGAAAAUUGAGAAAGAGGUGAAGAACUAAUAUGAAAGUAAGUAAAUAUAUAACAAAAAAUAAUUUAAACUUAGCAAUAACUUACAAGGAAAAAAUUGCAGAAGGUAAGAAUAUGGUAGGAGAAAUUGUAG
RNAcentral lists this long non-coding RNA (849 nucleotides) under Lupinus angustifolius (narrow-leaved blue lupine). Its description in RNAcentral is "long non-coding RNA (LANG_LNC002254)". Lineage: Eukaryota; Viridiplantae; Streptophyta; Magnoliopsida; Fabales; Fabaceae. The record is from RNAcentral.